CAGCAGCCGCGGGAAUACGAAGGGUGCAAGCGUUAAUCGGAAUUACUGGGCGUAAAGCGUGCGUAGGCGGUUUGUUAAGUCUGUUGUGGAAUCCCCGGGCUCAACCUGGGAAUGGCAAUGGAUACUGGCAAGCUAGAGUGUGUCAGAGGAUGGUGGAAUUCCCGGUGUAGCGGUGAAAUGCGUAGAGAUCGGGAGGAACAUCAGUGGCGAAGGCGGCCAUCUGGGACAACACUGACGCUGAGGCACGAAAGCGUGGGGAGCAAACAGGAUUAGAUACCCCGGUAGUCCCUGUCUCUUAUAC
This 301-nucleotide ribosomal RNA is filed under the name uncultured bacterium. Its description in RNAcentral is "partial 16S ribosomal RNA". It matches the Rfam family "Bacterial small subunit ribosomal RNA", at positions 509 to 807 of the family's 1533-position model. The record is from RNAcentral.